RNAcentral lists this ribosomal RNA (375 nucleotides) under uncultured bacterium. RNAcentral describes it as "bacterial SSU rRNA". It matches the Rfam family "Bacterial small subunit ribosomal RNA", at positions 524 to 898 of the family's 1533-position model. The record is from RNAcentral.
UACGUAGGGGGCAAGCGUUGUCCGGAAUGAUUGGGCGUAAAGGGCGCGUAGGCGGCCUGGUAAGUCUGGAGUGAAAGUCCUGCUUUUAAGGUGGGAAUUGCUUUGGAUACUGUCGGGCUUGAGUGCAGGAGAGGUAAGCGGAAUUCCCGGUGUAGCGGUGAAAUGCGUAGAGAUCGGGAGGAACACCAGUGGCGAAGGCGGCUUACUGGACUGUAACUGACGCUGAGGCGCGAAAGCGUGGGUAGCAAACAGGAUUAGAUACCCUGGUAGUCCACGCCGUAAACGAUGUCAACUAGCCGUUGGGGGACUUAAUCCUUUAGUGGCGAAGCUAACGCGAUAAGUUGACCGCCUGGGGAGUACGGCCGCAAGGUUAAA